RNAcentral lists this ribosomal RNA (253 nucleotides) under uncultured bacterium. RNAcentral's name for it is "partial 16S ribosomal RNA". It matches the Rfam family "Bacterial small subunit ribosomal RNA", at positions 524 to 776 of the family's 1533-position model. The record is from RNAcentral.
UACGGGGGGGGCAAGCGUUGUUCGGAAUUACUGGGCGUAAAGGGCUCGUAGGUGGCCAACUAAGUCGGACGUGAAAUCCCUCAGCUUAACUGGGGAACUGCGUCCGAUACUGGAUGGCUUGAGUUUGGGAGAGGGAUGCGGAAUUCCAGGUGUAGCGGUGAAAUGCGUAGAUAUCUGGAGGAACACCGGUGGCGAAGGCAGCUCGCUGGGACGCAACUGACGCUGAGACGCGAAAGCGUGGGGAGCAAACAGG